ACGCUCGACACCUACGGGGCAGCAGUCGGGAAUAUUGCGCAAUGGAGGAAACUCUGACGCAGUGACGCCGCGUGCAGGAAGAAGGUUUUCGGAUUGUAAACUGCUUUAGACAGGGAAGAACAAAUGACAGUACCUGUAGAAUAAGCUCCGGCUAACUACGUGCCAGCAGCCGCGGUAAUCUGAGCGGGCUGGCAAGGC
Molecule: ribosomal RNA, 198 nt
Filed under: uncultured bacterium
Lineage: Bacteria
Description: partial 16S ribosomal RNA
Rfam family: Bacterial small subunit ribosomal RNA
Source: RNAcentral